Molecule: ribosomal RNA, 440 nt
Filed under: uncultured bacterium
Lineage: Bacteria
Description: bacterial SSU rRNA
Rfam family: Bacterial small subunit ribosomal RNA
Source: RNAcentral
AACGCGAAGAACCUUACCUGCCCUUGACAUCCCGCGAAUCCCGUGGAGACACGGGAGUGCCGAAAGGAGCGCGGAGACAGGUGCUGCAUGGCUGUCGUCAGCUCGUGUUGUGAGAUGUUGGGUUAAGUCCCGUAACGAGCGCAACCCCUGCCCCCAGUUGCCAGCAUUAGGUUGGGGACUCUGGGGGGACUGCCGGUGAGGAACCGGAGGAAGGCGGGGACGACGUCAAGUCAUCAUGGCCCUUAUGGGCAGGGCGACACACGUGCUACAAUGGGGCGCACAGAGGGUCGCGAACCCGCGAGGGGGAGCCAAUCCCUUAAAACGUCCCGCAGUCCGGAUUGGAGUCUGCAACCCGACUCCAUGAAGCUGGAAUCGCUAGUAAUCGCGGAUCAGCACGCCGCGGUGAAUACGUUCCCGGGCCUUGUACACACCGACGCGUA